This 497-nucleotide ribosomal RNA is filed under the name uncultured bacterium. RNAcentral's name for it is "partial 16S ribosomal RNA". It matches the Rfam family "Bacterial small subunit ribosomal RNA", at positions 28 to 507 of the family's 1533-position model. The record is from RNAcentral.
GAUGAACGCUGGCGGCGUGCCUAAUACAUGCAAGUCGAGCGAACAGACGAGGAGCUUGCUCCUCUGACGUUAGCGGCGGACGGGUGAGUAACACGUGGAUAACCUACCUAUAAGACUGGGAUAACUUCGGGAAACCGGAGCUAAUACCGGAUAAUAUAUUGAACCGCAUGGUUCAAUAGUGAAAGACGGUUUUGCUGUCACUUAUAGAUGGAUCCGCGCCGCAUUAGCUAGUUGGUAAGGUAACGGCUUACCAAGGCAACGAUGCGUAGCCGACCUGAGAGGGUGAUCGGCUACACUGGAACUGAGACACGGUCCAGACUCCUACGGGAGGCAGCAGUAGGGAAUCUUCCGCAAUGGGCGAAAGCCUGACGGAGCAACGCCGCGUGAGUGAUAAAGGUCUUCGGAUCGUAAAACUCUGUUAUUAGGGAAGAACAAAUGUGUAAGUAACUAUGCACGUCUUGACGGUACCUAAUCAGAAAGCCACGGCUAACUACGUG